Molecule: long non-coding RNA, 182 nt
Organism: Perca flavescens (yellow perch)
Lineage: Eukaryota; Metazoa; Chordata; Actinopteri; Perciformes; Percidae
Exons: 3
Source: RefSeq, a predicted model, not a curated record
GAUAAGAUACAGAGAAGUCCUGGUACAUCUGUCGAUCAAGAUAUGGGGAAUAUGUCAUCAUCUGAUGGAACAAAACUGAAGAAACCCAAAGAAACAACCCCAGAGGAGUCUGAAGGAGAGGAGGGAGGGAUGGAGGUGGAUAAAUCCAAGGAGGCCUCCUCCCCCAACAGGAAGGAGAACAG